UAGGAUGCCACGACAAUUGUAGAACACACAGUGUUUAACAAGUAACCAAUGAGAAUUUCUGAUCUAUCAAUCAGUUGGUAGUAUCGAGGACUACCAAGAUUAUAACGGAUAACGAGGAAUUGGGGUUCGACAUCGGAGAGGGAGCUUUACAGAUGGCUACCACUUCUAAGGAAGGCAGCAGGCGCGUAAAUUACCCACUUUCGAAUUGAAGAGGUAGUGACGACACAUAACUCUAGAGUUGAGUAAAAUCAAUUCUUGAAGGAAUGAGUAGGAGGUAAAUUCUCCUACGAAAUCAAUUGGAGGGCAAGUCUGGUGCCAGCAGCCGCGGUAAUUCCAGCUCCAAUAGUGUAUAUUAAAGUUGCUGUGAUUAAAACGCUCGUAGUUGAAUUAAAAUGUGAUUUUAUACAUUUUGAAGACUUUACAUUAAGUGAAGUUUCUAGAAAUGUUAAAUUAAAAUCAAAGAAGGAGACAAUUCAAGUAAUUGAGUUGUCAUUACUUUGAAUAAAAUAAGGUGUUUAAAGCAAAACAUUAUGUUAAUGAAUAUUCAAGCAUGGGACAAUGCUGAGGAGAUGUCAAUUAGACAUUUCGAGAGAAGGAUUAAAAGGAACAAUUGGGGUGAUUCAGAAAAUAACGGGAGAGGUGAAAAUCCAUGAUCGCUAUAAGAUGCACGAGAGCGAAAGCAUUUCACUCAACUGGGUCCAUUAAUCAAGAACGAAAGUUAGGGGAUCGAAGACGAUCAGAUACCGUCGUAGUCCUAACUAUAAACGAUGUCAACCAAGGAUUGGAUGAAAUUCAGAUGUACAAAGAUGAAGAAACAUUGUUUCUAAAUCCAA
RNAcentral lists this ribosomal RNA (833 nucleotides) under Entamoeba dispar. Its description in RNAcentral is "SSU rRNA". It matches the Rfam family "Eukaryotic small subunit ribosomal RNA", at positions 253 to 1089 of the family's 1831-position model. Lineage: Eukaryota; Evosea; Mastigamoebida; Endamoebidae. The record is from RNAcentral.